RNAcentral lists this ribosomal RNA (250 nucleotides) under uncultured bacterium. RNAcentral's name for it is "partial 16S ribosomal RNA". It matches the Rfam family "Bacterial small subunit ribosomal RNA", at positions 355 to 597 of the family's 1533-position model. The record is from RNAcentral.
UGGGGAAUUUUGGACAAUGGGCGCAAGCCUGAUCCAGCCAUGCCGCGUGCGGGAAGAAGGCCUUCGGGUUGUAAACCGCUUUUAUUUGGGAAGAAGGAGUAGAGGCUAAUACCCUUUAUGACGGACGGUACCGGAUGAAUAAGCACCGGCUAACUACGUGCCAGCAGCCGCGGUAAUACGUAGGGUGCGAGCGUUAAUCGGAAUUACUGGGCGUAAAGCGUGCGCAGGCGGUUCGAGAAGUCAGCUGUGA